GUUGGGUGCAGUGGCCUGUGCCUGUAGCCCCAGCUACUCGAGAGGCUGAGGCAGGAGAAUCUCUUGAGCCCAGGAAUUUGAUACCAGCCUGGGCAAGAGAGUGAGUCCCUGUUGUU
This 116-nucleotide small RNA is filed under the name Marmota monax (woodchuck). The record is from RNAcentral. Lineage: Eukaryota; Metazoa; Chordata; Mammalia; Rodentia; Sciuridae.